GACGAACGCUGGCGGCGUGCUUAACACAUGCAAGUCGAACGGAAAGGCCCUGCUUUUGUGGGGUGCUCGAGUGGCGAACGGGUGAGUAACACGUGAGUAACCUGCCCUAGACUUUGGGAUAACUUCAGGAAACUGGGGCUAAUACCGGAUAGGAGCCCCUGCUGCAGGGUGGGGGUUGGAAAGUUUCGGCGGUUGGGGAUGGACUCGCGGCUUAUCAGCUUGUUGGUGGGGUAGUGGCUUACCAAGGCUUUGACGGGUAGCCGGCCUGAGAGGGUGACCGGCCACAUUGGGACUGAGAUACGGCCCAGACUCCUACGGGAGGCAGCAGUGGGGAAUAUUGCACAAUGGGCGGAAGCCUGAUGCAGCAACGCCGCGUGCGGGAUGACGGCCUUCGGGUUGUAAACCGCUUUCGCCUGUGACGAAGCGUGAGUGACGGUAAUGGGUAAAGAAGCACCGGCUAACUACGUG
Molecule: ribosomal RNA, 468 nt
Filed under: uncultured bacterium
Lineage: Bacteria
Description: partial 16S ribosomal RNA
Rfam family: Bacterial small subunit ribosomal RNA
Source: RNAcentral